UCAUUUAUCCCACUUUCAUCUUCAUUCUUGUCGCGGGGCAGCUGAAGUGGCCACGGCAGCGACGGCGGCGACAAUGAAUUGAUUACCUCGUCAUCAGAUUGGCGGCCAUCGACAAGGAGACAAUGACCUCGUGAUCGAUUUGGCCGCUGAGAUACAGUUGAUAUGAUGCUGGUAGGAUGAUUUGCUCUCUGCAAUUUGGUGCAAUGUUUUCGUUCAUUAUUGGCUCAUGUAAUUCCCUUAUAGUUGAGGUACAAUAUUAUUGUAUUGUUAUCAGUGCCUCUGUAUGUGAUAGGAGCCUACUUUGUUAGCUCUGUAAGUCUGUAUAUGAGCUUGUUUUGAGAAGGUUUAGGUAGGAAUCCUGGGAACACAUAUGAACACGAGCUACUGGUGUGUGUGCUAUGUAAUAGGAGUCUACUGCUGAUGUUCAAAAUUCUGCACACAUCAUUCUACUUA
Panicum virgatum (switchgrass) is the source of this 453-nucleotide long non-coding RNA. RefSeq lists it as uncharacterized. NCBI's taxonomy places the organism in Eukaryota, Viridiplantae, Streptophyta, Magnoliopsida, Poales, Poaceae. The record is from RefSeq and is a predicted model, not a curated record. The transcript is spliced from 2 exons.